AGCAGCCGCGGUAAUUCCAGCUCCAAUAGCGUAUAUUAAAGUUGUUGCAGUUAAAAAGCUCGUAGUUGAAUUUCGGGAUCAAUUUGCUGGUCGUGCCUCUGGUACGUACUGGUAUUAUUGGUUUCUUCCUUCCGACGAACCAUGAUGUCAUUAAUUUGAUGUCGUGGAGAAUCAGGACUGUUACUUUGAAAAAAUUAGAGUGUUUAAAGCAGGCAUUAGCUUGAAUACAUUAGCAUGGAAUAAUGAAAUAGGACGUUUGAUCCUAUUUUGUUGGUUUCUAGGAUUGACGUAAUGAUUAAUAGGGAUAGUUGGGGGCAUUAGUAUUCAAUUGUCAGAGGUGAAAUUCUUGGAUUUUAUUGAAGACUAACUACUGCGAAAGCAUUUGCCAAGGAUGUUUUCAUUAAUCAAGAACGAAAGUUAGGGGAUCGAAGACGAUCAGAUACCGUCGUA
This 450-nucleotide ribosomal RNA is filed under the name uncultured Glomeromycotina. RNAcentral's name for it is "SSU rRNA". It matches the Rfam family "Eukaryotic small subunit ribosomal RNA", at positions 569 to 1022 of the family's 1831-position model. The record is from RNAcentral. Lineage: Eukaryota; Fungi; Glomeromycota.